UGAUGUUUUUACCGCUCAUUUCACAGUAGUACACCGAUUUUCUUUAUUUACCGUGUUGUCUCGUGAACAGAUUUAACUUGUGUCCUGCAGGGAACCAAACAGCAGGUGAGUCAAAACAACUGCCGCCAGACAUGCAGACAGAGAAAGAGGACGACGAAGAUGCGUCUCCAGAAGAGUAUGUUGCCUUGUCUAACUUCACAGGAAGUGGCAACGACCAGCUUACUUUCAGCCGCGGGGAUAGGCUGCUCGUGCACGCCAAGCCUUCAUCAGAGUGGUGGUGGGCAGAGCUGGACGGGGUCACAGGUUAUGCACCCGCCGACUACCUGCGACAGGAUGCUGCUGAGGAGGAGGAGGACACCUCCCUGGAGGACCCAUGGCAAGAUGAAGAAUACUUCGGCAGUUAUGGGACACUGAGGCUUCACUUGGAGAUGUUGUCAGAUAAGAGUCGCACUGAGGCGUACCGGCAGGUCAUUCUUAGCAAUAGUGGUUCUCUGCAGAAUAAGGUGGUGAUGGACCUUGGCUGUGGGACUGGCAUCAUCAGCUUGUUCUGCGCUCAGCUGGCACAACCCUCAGUGGUAAUGUCGACAGUAUCACUGGUGUAUGCUGUUGAGGCGAGCUCCAUGGCAGAGCACACCAGACAGCUGGUGAAGCAGAACAGCUGUGAGGACGUGGUCACGGUCCUCCAGAGACGCGCUGAGGAGAUUGAACUACCUGAGCAAGUGGACGUGCUGGUUUCCGAGUGGAUGGGUAACUGCCUACUGUUUGAGUUCAUGGUGGAGUCUGUUCUGCUGGCCAGGGACCGCUGGCUUAGGGAAGGUGGUGUGAUGUGGCCCUCAUCUGCGGCCCUCACCCUGGUGCCGUGUCAGGCUGACAGCUAUUAUGCAGAGAAAAUGGCCUUCUGGGAGCGGCCCUACGGCCUGGACUUCACUCCUCUUCAGCCUUUGGCACAGCAGGAGUUCUUCACCAAGCCCAAGUUCAGCCACCUCAUUGAGCCCGAUGACUGUCUCGCUGCCCCGUGUGAUGUGAUAUGCCUGGACAUGUACACUCUGCAAAUCAAAGACCUGGAGGAAAUAAAGGGUCAGUUUCAUUUUUAUGUGGAAAGGUCUGCCGUUUUCCAUGGAUUCACCGCCUGGUUCACUGUUCAUUUCGAGAGCCUGGAGACGGGAGGCGCAGCAGUGGAGCUAAACACCGGACCUAACUCUGAGCCGACACACUGGAAGCAGACUCUCUUCAUGCUAGACAGACCCGUUAGUGUGUAUGCUGGAGACUCGAUCAGUGGAACCAUUGUCUUGCGCAGGAACCCUGUCUGGAGACGCCACAUGAACGUUACCCUGCACUGGAAAGUUUACUGCAGCACAGAGGAAACAGACAAGUGCCAGGCAAAUGUCUAAUCUUCACUUUACACUUUACAGUCUCCUUAUCUGAGCGAUGCAUUGACGAUUUCAAGUGGUGGUUGGGACAAAGACUUUCCCCAUGUGGAGGUGACAGAAUCUCCGUCAGCAGGGGAGAUAUGUAGAAAAACAACAAUAAUAAAUCUUCUGUUGAGCUUUAUGGUCAGCGAGGUAUCGGCUGUGAGCUGCUUCUGACCUGGAAUAGAAUGGAAAGUUUGACUGACGCGUUGUAGUGAAUGUUAAGUCAAAAGAGGCUCAUCUGGCAGGAUACGUAGUCCUACAGUGUCAAGCCAGGUAAGCACAGGCUGCCAGGUGAUAACAGCACAAUAUAAACCAUGUUUUAAGAGCAGAUUAACAGAGAAAUUUCACGCUAACAAUGAACUGUGGAGAAUUACAGAAAAAGGGGCUUUAUAGAAGACGGUUGUGUUGACAAUGGUUGGUAACUGAAACAACAAAUUGUUUUUGACAGAUGUCUGUAGCCUCUAGGUGCAACAAAAUAAAUGGUUCAGUUCUCCACA
Molecule: RNA transcript, 1909 nt
Organism: Micropterus salmoides (largemouth bass)
Lineage: Eukaryota; Metazoa; Chordata; Actinopteri; Centrarchiformes; Centrarchidae
Gene: prmt2
Gene name: protein arginine methyltransferase 2
Exons: 9
Source: RefSeq, a predicted model, not a curated record